RNAcentral lists this ribosomal RNA (526 nucleotides) under Ascomycota sp. BR329. Its description in RNAcentral is "eukaryotic LSU rRNA". The stretch from base 162 to 315 matches the Rfam family "5.8S ribosomal RNA". The record is from RNAcentral. Lineage: Eukaryota; Fungi; Ascomycota.
UUUAGGACUGCGGAGAUCUUACUAGAGUUGUAGGCUUUGCCUGCUAUCUCUUACCCAUGUCUUUUGAGUACCUUACGUUUCCUCGGUGGGUUCGCCCACCGAUUGGACAAAUUUAAACCCUUUGCAGUUGAAAUCAGCGUCUGAAAAAACUUAAUAGUUACAACUUUCAACAACGGAUCUCUUGGUUCUGGCAUCGAUGAAGAACGCAGCGAAAUGCGAUAAGUAGUGUGAAUUGCAGAAUUCAGUGAAUCAUCGAAUCUUUGAACGCACAUUGCGCCCCUUGGUAUUCCAUGGGGCAUGCCUGUUCGAGCGUCAUUUGUACCUUCAAGCUCUGCUUGGUGUUGGGUGUUUGUCUCCUGUAGACUCGCCUUAAAACAAUUGGCAGCCGGCGUAUUGAUUUCGGAGCGCAGUACAUCUCGCGCUUUGCACUCAUAACGACGACAUCCAAAAGUACAUUUUUACACUCUUGACCUCGGAUCAGGUAGGGAUACCCGCUGAACUUAAGCAUAUCAAAANCCCGGAGGAA